CCUACGGGUGGCAGCAGUGGGGAAUAUUGGGCAAUGGGCGAAAGCCUGAUCCAGCGACGCCGCGUGAAGGAAGAAGGCUUUCGGGAUGUAAAGCUCUUUCUGCAGGGAAGAAAAUGACGGUACGUGUGUCGAAAGCCCCGGCUAACUACGUGCCAGCAGCGGCGGUAAUACGGAGGGGGCAAGCGUUAUCCGGAUUUACUGGGUGUAAAGGGAGCGUAGACGGGGGGGAAAGUCUGGAGUGAAAGGCGGGGGCUCAAACCCCGAACUGCUCUUGAAACUGUAGGGCUGGAGUGCAGGAGAGGUAGGCGGAAUUCCUGGUGUAGCGGUGAAAUGCGUAGAUAUUA
RNAcentral lists this ribosomal RNA (344 nucleotides) under uncultured bacterium. Its description in RNAcentral is "partial 16S ribosomal RNA". It matches the Rfam family "Bacterial small subunit ribosomal RNA", at positions 338 to 699 of the family's 1533-position model. The record is from RNAcentral.